GGCCACAUAGUGUAGUGGUUAUCACCCGGGAUUUUGAGAAUGAUUUCCCGUGACCCAGGUUCGAUCCCUGGUGCGGCCU
RNAcentral lists this transfer RNA (79 nucleotides) under Dentipellis sp. KUC8613. It matches the Rfam family "tRNA". From Rfam's summary of the family: Transfer RNA (tRNA) molecules are approximately 80 nucleotides in length. Their secondary structure includes four short double-helical elements and three loops (D, anti-codon, and T loops). Lineage: Eukaryota; Fungi; Basidiomycota; Agaricomycetes; Russulales; Hericiaceae. The record is from Rfam by way of RNAcentral.